ACACAAGUUAUGGACAUGACAGUUUCAUAGUUUAAAAAUUAAAGUCACGCAAUUUAUGGACAUGACAGUCACUUAUGUUAUGGACAAAUAAGUCACACAACUUAUGGACAUGACAGUCACACAAGUUAUGGACAUUCCAGUUAAUUAGAUUAUUAAUAUUAAAGUCACGCAAUUUAUGGACAUGACAGUCACUUAUGUUAUGGACAAUUAAGUCACACAACUUACGGACAUGACAGUCACACAAGUUAUUGACAUGACAGUUACUUAGAUUAUUGACAUUAAAGUCUCACAAUUUAUGGACUUGGCAGUCACUAAGGUUAUGGACAGUUAAGUCACAUAAAUUUUGGACAUUAUAGUCACACAAGUUAUGGACAUGACAGUUGCUAGAUUGUUAUUAAAGACACAUUAGCAAUAGGGAUAAAAAAUGCACUAGUGAUGUAGUUCAUAUACACAAAUCAUGCCUAUUAAUGACACAAAAAGUCAUAUAAUCAAAUAUAAAAACAAAUUCAUUUCAGUGGCUUUACAGAAACAACCAAAGAACUUGGAGGCCUUCUUAAAUGAUGGAGAGUUUGCACUGAAGGAGGGGUUCUUAAAGGAUGUAGGUCAAGAUACAUCACCCACAGCCAGUAAAUAGGUGUUCUCAUCAUCAGGUCAAGAUACAUCGCCCACAGCUGGUCAAGAGGUGUGCUCAUCAGGAGGUCAAGAUUCAUCACCCACAGCCAGUCAAGAGGUUCGGUCUUCAGCACGUAAAGAAACAUCACCCACAGUCAGUCAAGAGGUUUGGCCAUCAGAACGUCAAGAUACAUUACCCACAGCCAGUCAAGAGGUUUGCUCAUCGGCAGGUCAAGAUACAUCACCCACAGCUAGUCAAGAGGUUUGGCCAUCAGCACAUAAAGAUACAUCCCCUACAGCCAGUCAAGAGGUUUGCUCAUCAGAACGUCAAGAUACAUCACACACAGUCAGUUAGGAGGUGAACCUUAGGAAACAACUGCAACAUUGAGCCAGGUGAUAAACUUGAAACCAAACAAGCUACAAGGGCUGUGUAGCCACCUGGGUCAUACAACGAGAGUGCGCUUGGACCACUACAGGCAAAUGUCUGGCUUCAUUGAAAGAGUCAAAAUCAGCAAAGUAUUGCUGAUGCAAGACAUGGACCUUACAGAAAAGUUUGUAGGAAAGAGCCUUGAUGAAAUUUGGCGCAUUCCUUUUGAAGACAUUUUAACACCUGGUCCAGAGACAUGUUGUAAUGAAAAUAGAG
Molecule: long non-coding RNA, 1255 nt
Organism: Dreissena polymorpha
Lineage: Eukaryota; Metazoa; Mollusca; Bivalvia; Myida; Dreissenidae
Exons: 4
Source: RefSeq, a predicted model, not a curated record